CGGCGUCACGGGCUUCAAAGCCGGCGCGGUGCCCCUG
RNAcentral lists this transfer RNA (37 nucleotides) under Prorocentrum minimum. RNAcentral's name for it is "partial Selenocysteine transfer RNA". The record is from RNAcentral. Lineage: Eukaryota; Dinophyceae; Prorocentrales; Prorocentraceae.